Molecule: ribosomal RNA, 2915 nt
Filed under: Vibrio owensii
Lineage: Bacteria; Pseudomonadati; Pseudomonadota; Gammaproteobacteria; Vibrionales; Vibrionaceae
Description: 23S ribosomal RNA
Rfam family: Bacterial large subunit ribosomal RNA
Source: RNAcentral
GUUGUAUGGUUAAGUGACUAAGCGUACACGGUGGAUGCCUUGGCAGUCAGAGGCGAUGAAGGACGUAUUAACUUGCGAUAAGCCCAGAUUAGGUAGUAAAAACCAUUUGAGUCUGGGAUUUCCGAAUGGGGAAACCCACUUGCAUAAGCAAGUAUCGCUGCGUGAAUACAUAGCGCAGCGAGGCGAACCGGGGGAACUGAAACAUCUAAGUACCCCGAGGAAAAGAAAUCAACCGAGAUUCCGAAAGUAGCGGCGAGCGAAAUUGGACUAGCCCUUAAGCUUUUUAUGCGUCAGGUGAAACUUCUGGAAAGUUGUGCGAUACAGGGUGAUAGCCCCGUAACCGGCAACGCAUAUAAAGUGAAAUCGAGUAGGGCGGGACACGUGAUAUCCUGUCUGAAUAUGGGGGGACCAUCCUCCAAGGCUAAAUACUACUGACUGACCGAUAGUGAACCAGUACCGUGAGGGAAAGGCGAAAAGAACCCCUGUGAGGGGAGUGAAAUAGAACCUGAAACCGUGUACGUACAAGCAGUAGGAGCACCUUCGUGGUGUGACUGCGUACCUUUUGUAUAAUGGGUCAGCGACUUAUAUUCAGUGGCAAGGUUAACCAUCUAGGGGAGCCGUAGCGAAAGCGAGUGUUAACUGCGCGACUCAGUCGCUGGAUAUAGACCCGAAACCAGGUGAUCUAGCCAUGGGCAGGUUGAAGAUUGAGUAACAUCAAUUGGAGGACCGAACCGACUAAUGUUGAAAAAUUAGCGGAUGACUUGUGGCUAGGGGUGAAAGGCCAAUCAAACCUGGAGAUAGCUGGUUCUCCCCGAAAGCUAUUUAGGUAGCGCCUCGGACGAAUACUACUGGGGGUAGAGCACUGUUAAGGCUAGGGGGUCAUCCCGACUUACCAACCCUUUGCAAACUCCGAAUACCAGUAAGUACUAUCCGGGAGACACACGGCGGGUGCUAACGUCCGUCGUGGAGAGGGAAACAACCCAGACCGCCAGCUAAGGUCCCAAAUUACUACUAAGUGGGAAACGAUGUGGGAAGGCUCAGACAGCCAGGAUGUUGGCUUAGAAGCAGCCAUCAUUUAAAGAAAGCGUAAUAGCUCACUGGUCGAGUCGGCCUGCGCGGAAGAUGUAACGGGGCUAAGUAGUAAACCGAAGCUGCGGCAAUGCACUUUGUGCAUUGGGUAGGGGAGCGUUCUGUAAGCGGUUGAAGGUGUGUGGUAACGCAUGCUGGACGUAUCAGAAGUGCGAAUGCUGACAUGAGUAACGAUAAAGGGGGUGAAAAACCUCCUCGCCGGAAGACCAAGGGUUCCUGUCCAACGUUAAUCGGGGCAGGGUAAGUCGACCCCUAAGGCGAGGCCGAAAGGCGUAGUCGAUGGGAAACGGGUUAAUAUUCCCGUACUUCUUACAAUUGCGAUGGGGGGACGGAGAAGGCUAGGUGGGCCUGGCGACGGUUGUCCAGGUUCAAGUGCGUAGGCUGAGAGAUUAGGUAAAUCCGGUUUCUCUUAAGGCUGAGACACGACGUCGAGCUACUACGGUAGUGAAGUCAUUGAUGCCAUGCUUCCAGGAAAAGCCUCUAAGCUUCAGAUUGUAAGGAAUCGUACCCCAAACCGACACAGGUGGUCGGGUAGAGAAUACCAAGGCGCUUGAGAGAACUCGGGUGAAGGAACUAGGCAAAAUGGUACCGUAACUUCGGGAGAAGGUACGCUCUUGAUGGUGAAGUCCCUUGCGGAUGGAGCUGACGAGAGUCGCAGAUACCAGGUGGCUGCAACUGUUUAUUAAAAACACAGCACUGUGCAAAUCGUAAGAUGACGUAUACGGUGUGACGCCUGCCCGGUGCCGGAAGGUUAAUUGAUGGGGUUAGACUUCGGUCGAAGCUCUUGAUCGAAGCCCCGGUAAACGGCGGCCGUAACUAUAACGGUCCUAAGGUAGCGAAAUUCCUUGUCGGGUAAGUUCCGACCUGCACGAAUGGCGUAAUGAUGGCCACGCUGUCUCCACCCGAGACUCAGUGAAAUUGAAAUCGCUGUGAAGAUGCAGUGUACCCGCGGCUAGACGGAAAGACCCCGUGAACCUUUACUACAGCUUGGCACUGAACAUUGACCCUACAUGUGUAGGAUAGGUGGGAGGCUUUGAAGCAAGUACGCCAGUAUUUGUGGAGCCGUCCUUGAAAUACCACCCUUGUAGUGUUGAUGUUCUAACGUUGACCCCUAAUCGGGGUUGCGGACAGUGCCUGGUGGGUAGUUUGACUGGGGCGGUCUCCUCCCAAAGAGUAACGGAGGAGCACGAAGGUGGGCUAAUCACGGUUGGACAUCGUGAGGUUAGUGCAAUGGCAUAAGCCCGCUUGACUGCGAGAAUGACAAUUCGAGCAGGUGCGAAAGCAGGUCAUAGUGAUCCGGUGGUUCUGAAUGGAAGGGCCAUCGCUCAACGGAUAAAAGGUACUCCGGGGAUAACAGGCUGAUACCGCCCAAGAGUUCAUAUCGACGGCGGUGUUUGGCACCUCGAUGUCGGCUCAUCACAUCCUGGGGCUGAAGUCGGUCCCAAGGGUAUGGCUGUUCGCCAUUUAAAGUGGUACGCGAGCUGGGUUUAGAACGUCGUGAGACAGUUCGGUCCCUAUCUGCCGUGGGCGUUGGAAGAUUGAAGGGGGCUGCUCCUAGUACGAGAGGACCGGAGUGGACGAACCUCUGGUGUUCGGGUUGUGUCGCCAGACGCAUUGCCCGGUAGCUAAGUUCGGAAUCGAUAACCGCUGAAAGCAUCUAAGCGGGAAGCGAGCCCUGAGAUGAGUCUUCCCUGAUACUUUAAGUAUCCUAAAGGGUUGUUCGAAGACUAGAACGUUGAUAGGCAGGGUGUGUAAGCGUUGUGAGGCGUUGAGCUAACCUGUACUAAUUGCCCGUGAGGCUUAACCAUACAACACCCAAGGGGUUU